CACGGCAGCGACCGCGUGCUCGGCCAUGUCUCAAAGUGAUUUCUGCGUUUGGAAGCACAAGAUUACGCAAACUUACAGAUGGUCUGAGAGGAGGUCCAGAAGCCAAAGAUGCAAGCACGCAACUGAAGAUGCGACCUUGGAGUAAACGAGAAGAUGGAGAGCAUGAGGGAGGGGAUUGGAGUUGGGGCUCGCGUACCUGAUCCGUUGGCUAUCCGGCGACGGCGAGGACGGCGGCAAUGGAUUCUGCUGGAUCUGUGCUGUUGUGCUGCAUCGUGCGUGGCGUGGUUUGUUGGAUCAUCAUCCAAAGUCCGAACAUUAUUCUGAAGUCAGCUGAUGCUGCUGCCUCGUCUGCGUCAGUGACAGGGGGAUGAUAUGUAUUUCAAUACUCUGGAGGGAGGGCGUGGACGUUGACCCGGCCGGUGUGUGUCUCCGUCUGGGGCUGGACGAGCUCAUGGCUAGCUUGUCCUCACCCUUGUCAGUUUGUGUAGCUCGUUUUUCUGUUCGAUAGAGGGACACCCGGCCACCGAUACGUAUGCGGUACUAUUUUUAUUUACCCCUGGACGAUCUUAUGUCGCGCACUGACCCUUAAAAAACUUAUUUGGUCGUCUGACCCCAGUCUAAGACGUCAUUACCGUUAGGCA
This is a long non-coding RNA of Hordeum vulgare subsp. vulgare (domesticated barley), 641 nucleotides long. RefSeq lists it as uncharacterized. Lineage: Eukaryota; Viridiplantae; Streptophyta; Magnoliopsida; Poales; Poaceae. The record is from RefSeq and is a predicted model, not a curated record. The transcript has 2 exons.